CAGGAUCUGGAUUCUUCUCGGUUCAUUUAGGGACAAUUAAAAUUAUGAAGGCAGCCCAACUCACAAGAGUCUCUUAUAUAAACCAGGAUUAUUGAUCUGUGAUCUGAGGCAUACCUGACAAGCCAAGGGGAUCUCCCCAGGAAAGGAAGCUGCUUGAGAAACUGAAGAUCAGAAGUUGAUUGCUAAGAAUACACCAGAGCCUCAGAGUCAGUGGCACAAAGAGAGGCUUCUGUCAAGCCGUGGCUGUCCCGAAUCCCCUGUCUGCACGGAUGAGGAAAUCUGAAGUUCGGGGAGAGUAAAUGGUUUACCAAGGUCAGAGGACCAGUGUUAAUCAUAAGAAAUGACUUCCAUAAAUGGCAUUUUCCUGGAGCACAGAAGAGCAGGACUUCUCGGGAGGAUGUUACAGAGCAGGUAACCCUUGGGCAGGGUCUUGGAAGAUGAAUUUACCAAGUGGAUGGGGAUGGGAUGAUGGUGUCUGGCCAAAGAAAUGGAAUUUCACAAAGACCCGUUUAUGGGGGAAGAGCAGCAAACGGACAGGAUCAUGGCUGUUCUGGAAGGAUGGUACAUGGGACAGUUCUCUGAGAAAGAAAUGGAAAAUUUUAUUGGAGCUAACCUGAGGAU
Molecule: non-coding RNA, 621 nt
Organism: Delphinapterus leucas (beluga whale)
Lineage: Eukaryota; Metazoa; Chordata; Mammalia; Artiodactyla; Monodontidae
Source: RefSeq, a predicted model, not a curated record